This 2020-nucleotide long non-coding RNA is filed under the name Homo sapiens (human). RNAcentral describes it as "HSALNT0316145". Lineage: Eukaryota; Metazoa; Chordata; Mammalia; Primates; Hominidae. The record is from RNAcentral.
AAGAAAAAUUUGUUCAGCAUAUGAGUGGUAGAUACGACCAAAGCUACAUCUCUCAGCAAGUCAGUGCUCCAGCUUAAGCAACAAGAAAAAAAAAAGCUCUAUAUAGAACUGUGACAAACAUAGUUACUGCAUGGAACUAAGAAAAUGAUGUUUGUAGCGUGUAGAAGCUAGAAAAGAAAGAUGAAAUCAAUUUAAACUUUUUCAAAACCAAUAGCUAGACUGAGACUGUUCAGUCCUGAAUAUAUAUGUGUACAUAUGUGUAUGUACACAUAUAUACAAACAUUGGGUUCUCAUUUUGUUUUGGAAAGGUGAAGCUGGUCACCCCCAGAGUUAAUGGGAAAAUAUGUGGGAUUAGAAAUUGUGCCCCAGUAUUCUGGGACUCCUGCCCAAGCCACAGUGAUGGCUUUUCCCCUCUUAUGAUUGCUGCUGUACUGAAAUUUACCAUCAGUCAGCCAUAGAACAGAGCAACUCCCAAGGUUCCAGCUACUACAGUGACUCAUUUGGUGUGUCAUCAUUCCCUGGAGAAUGGAGGUACCACAUCAAAUCAUGGCCCAUCCUAAAGUCUAGUGCCACUGAAAUUUACAGCCACAGAACUGAAUUAAUCAAGAGGAACAACAACAACAAGAGUUCUCUUCCAAAAUGAUAGCUUUUUUGUAGCUCUGAAAUGAGAGGAACCCAAUCCAGAAGAAUCCACAGAAGGAGGAAAAGCCAGCAGAAAGGCAGCAGAUUAGACACAAAAUUGUAAUUGUUAGUACGCAACUGAUAAAUACAAAAGGGCGAAGAGAAUGUCAAUCCAGAAUGAUGCAAAUCCCUUCAUUAUUACUCUCGGUAUACGUCGUUACUUUAAGAUGUUAAAAAAGAGUAAACCAAAAAGCUUCACGUUCAUUUUACAGAAAAGAUUCUCAAGAGAUUUAAAUAGAAAAAAUGGAUAGUAAUUCAUCCCAAAUUAAUUUUCAACUUUCAAAUUUUAGCCUCCAUACUCCUCUUUAAGGCUACCUGGGGGUCUAUCAUGUUACAGCAGUGAAGCUGGAUGCUAAGUUGUUACGACGCCUGUUGGACCCUGCUUAAAAAGUUUGGUCCAGAAAAUAUAGUCCUGGAGGCAUGAAAAAUAGCAGAAAAACUGUAAUAUUAAUUCAUGUGGAAAAUAAUAUGGGGAAAGAGUAGAAGAGAUUAGAGAAGUUCAUAGAAAGUACCCAAGUCUCUUUAACUGCUACUUUCAACAUCUUUUUGCCAAAGUUGCUGAGUAGAAAUUAUGGAAUGAUAGGAGUUGUUUCUCUUCCUGUUUUAUAGUUAAAGGACUGCUAAUGAUCAGCAAAUAGCCAAAGGCAGAGGAGUCAAUCCAAGAUCUCUUCGGUUCUUUCCUAAUCAGAACACAGAUUUACAAAGAUGACACAACUGUCCGGAGGUCACACUGAAAUUAUAGACAGAGCUGGAGUUCUGAUUUCUGAAAGUCCUAUUCUCAGUCACUAUGCUAAAUGAGCCUCUAAGGUUCUAUGCUUGUUUUCUUCUUUUAUCAUUUGUCCAAUCAGGAUAGGUUAUUUUGUUGAAAUUUUGUGAGGGAAAAAAAAUUUAUUUUAUUUGGUGGAACGGUUUUUAAUUGGAGAUGGGAGUGGUCUCAGCCCUUUAAAAAUAAAAGAAUGAGGUGAGGGCAAGAAGGGGGUUGUUAUAGGAGAAGGGCCCUAGGCUGGAGGUACAGAGCAAGGUCAAGGGGACCCUGACAGCUGCAGAGUGAAUAGCAUCUUUGCAGUCUAUGAGCUUACAGAUAGAGAAGAUGCAAUUUAGGGUAGGAGAGGUGGUUUUUAUUUCUUAAAAAGUAGUCUUUCUUGGACAGGGACAUACCAGGGAUACAACAGCCCUUUUAAUCCGGAAGAACGAGGGGCUGAAGGAAAUAAAAAGUAAGCCUGAACCAGACCAGAGAAUUAAAAUGGUAUGCGUUUAAGUUUGGUUUAUUUAAAUAUUUGCUCUAAGAAUAUGAAGUUGCCUAUAAAUAGAAAAAAGAUAACAGAAUGGCUGUUUUCUU